Molecule: ribosomal RNA, 675 nt
Filed under: Triticum aestivum (bread wheat)
Lineage: Eukaryota; Viridiplantae; Streptophyta; Magnoliopsida; Poales; Poaceae
Description: partial small subunit ribosomal RNA
Source: RNAcentral
AUGCACCCACCGCCGGUGUGGGGAACAACUAAGACGUGCCAACAUGCAACACCUGAUGAUCCUUCUUCACGUAUGAAGGGAACAAGUGCUAGCUCCCCUCUGCUUGGAUCGACCCUCCACGGUGGCGAGAUAGAUGAGGGAAGACAGUUUGCUGCACAGAGCAACCCCUCGUCCCUUCCUCCCUCCUCUCCAGCUAGCUUCCGCCUUCCUUCUCUGACGAAACCCGCUGCACCUCGUCAUGUCAAGAGUCCAGAAGCUAAGAUGCACCAUCGUUCUAGUGGUGCAAAAGGAGUGUAUUCGUCAGAGAGUUCAGAAAUUCAGACCUUGCUUUCAUCGGAGAAGAAACGAACCAGGAACUGCAGGCACCGGUUGCCGGCUCGAGUCAAGGAGAUGUGCGAAGCAAGAGAUGGCCCGACGGCGGGACGCCCGUCUCCAACGCUUGGAGGUGGCCAAUGGGGAGGCGAUGGAUUGUGCGGCAGAGGGAUCGCUAUCGGGCGGCCGGAGGUUGCGGCCGGUGGUGGGGAGUACGACGACCGUGGAGGCGGCCGGAGGCGUUGCCCAGUGGCAGAUGCCAUGCAGCGGCGGUGGAGGCGGGGUGGCCGACCAGGCGACCCUCCAGAUCGGCACGUGGUGGGCUGGUGGCCUCUUUGCAUGUUGCUAGGGACUUAUUUGUAA